Gallus gallus (chicken) is the source of this 1649-nucleotide long non-coding RNA. NCBI's taxonomy places the organism in Eukaryota, Metazoa, Chordata, Aves, Galliformes, Phasianidae. The record is from Ensembl.
ACCCUGCACACAGCAGGGGGUUGAACCCAGAUGAUCAUUGUGGUGCUUUUCAACCCAGGCCAUUCUGUGACUCUAUUCUAUGGUUCUGUUUGAGCAGUAUUGCAAGUGGUGGUGGUUGACCUGCAGCUAACACCUGCUGCUACAUCCUGUGCUCUCCUUCCCAGCCCUGCUCAGGCUCCUGUGCAUAUUUCCAGUGGCAGCAUGUGAGUUGCUGCUAGAAAUGCCGCAUUUUAAUUUAUAACUAGAAAACAGAAGAUGUGACUGCAAAGCAAACGUUGUGACCCAACCGCAGAACUGUCCUAGAUUCUCACAUCUUGUUUUGAAAUUUUAUGACAGCCUUAUUGCCCAGGGGUACAACAUAAUCUCUUUGCAGUUCACUGAUAUGCUUUCUUAUAGCAUCUGUACUAAAUGUGUUUUUAUCCCAGCUGAAUGGAAGAGCACUUUUUAAUUCUUCAGAUGCAAAGGAAAAAAAAAAAUUCAAGAUGCAUAACAGCUAAAAUUGUGUUUGUUGUCAUUUUGGACAUAAAUAUGGUUUGAAAAUAAGCAUUUCCACCCUGUCAACACCCAAAUUCUUCAUCAAUUGUAUUGUUUUCCUGCCUUUCAUUGGCACAGAGCUUGAUAGCACGUUCAGGGCACAGAGCUUCUCCUGUUGAACAGUUUGCUAAGAAAACUUCUGAAUUUGUGAACCACAGUGUCGUUGUUGGGCAAAGUGCAGAAGUUGCUGGUGGCACCAGGUGAGGUGCGGGAACUGCAGGGACCUCCCAUCGUUCAGGUCCUGCAUGGGCCACUUGGGUGCUCCUGUCUGAAGGCAUUUUGUGAGAAAAGGGGAGUUUUAGGUUGGAUAUGAGGAGGAAGUUUUUCCCCCAGAGGGUGGUGACGCACUGAACAGGUUGCCCAAGGAGGCUGUGGAUGCCCCAUCCCUGGAGGCAUUCAAGGCCAGGCUGGAUGUGGCUCUGGGCAGCCUGGUCUGCUGGUUGGCAACCCUGCACAUAGCAGGGGGUUGGAACUGGAUGAGCGUUGUGGUCCUUUGCAACCCAGGCCAUUCUGUGAGUCUAUGAAAGUCAGGAUUUCUGUGAUUGCUGCUGAAAUCCUCAAUUUUUUUUGUGGUCAAUGAACGUGGAGCCCACCAAAAGUCACCUCAGAAGUCAUGGCUACCUAUGACUACCUGGCAUUCCCACACCAGGACCUGCCUGCUGUCUGUUCAAGAAGAAAACAGGAUGAAAACUGAAAAACUGCUUUCCAAGGUAAGCACUUUAGGAUGUACACUUCUGUCUCAAUAGGCAGCAAAGAUGACUGUCUCCAUUCCUCUGGUCAGGCAAGCAACUCAUCAUGAACUAAUAGGAACGGCCAGUACCUGUAUGCUGCAGGUGAAUGAAGUCCUGCACGGGCCCUAUCCUAAGAAGACAUUUAAUUUGGUUCUCUCAGGACAUCCUACCAUUAAAACUAAUGAGCUGGAGUCUUCUGAGGACUGUUUCCCAGUUCGCUGCCACUGUAGGACAGGGUUGUAUCAGAUGUAGUUUUACUGGCUCAAAGAAAUUUUGGGUACACAGAUGCAAAUGUUACAAACAAAAUCAAAACGUCGCAAUGAUCCUAAUUAUGGAAAUAAAUGAAAGCUCUGCAAAGAGAGAUGCACUACUGCAAAAUAAAUG